UGUACCCGGCGCCGCGCCCCCAGAUCUGCAUCGGAAUGUAGAAAAGAUCUUUUAGAAAAAAAAGUUUUGAAUUCCUCAAUGAUUUUUCUUCUGGAAAGGCAGCUUAAGAUAAUUAUUUCAGCUUUAUUGAGGGCAGAUUAGUUGAAGUCUGGGCGCUGCGUUUCAAUACGCGUUGUACAUGGGCCGACAAUGUGG
Molecule: non-coding RNA, 195 nt
Organism: Rattus norvegicus (Norway rat)
Lineage: Eukaryota; Metazoa; Chordata; Mammalia; Rodentia; Muridae
Source: Rfam